This 1509-nucleotide ribosomal RNA is filed under the name Klebsiella sp. ok1_1_9_S24. Its description in RNAcentral is "bacterial SSU rRNA". It matches the Rfam family "Bacterial small subunit ribosomal RNA". The record is from RNAcentral. Lineage: Bacteria; Pseudomonadati; Pseudomonadota; Gammaproteobacteria; Enterobacterales; Enterobacteriaceae.
AUUGAACGCUGGCGGCAGGCCUAACACAUGCAAGUCGAGCGGUAGCACAGAGAGCUUGCUCUCGGGUGACGAGCGGCGGACGGGUGAGUAAUGUCUGGGAAACUGCCUGAUGGAGGGGGAUAACUACUGGAAACGGUAGCUAAUACCGCAUAAUGUCGCAAGACCAAAGUGGGGGACCUUCGGGCCUCAUGCCAUCAGAUGUGCCCAGAUGGGAUUAGCUAGUAGGUGGGGUAACGGCUCACCUAGGCGACGAUCCCUAGCUGGUCUGAGAGGAUGACCAGCCACACUGGAACUGAGACACGGUCCAGACUCCUACGGGAGGCAGCAGUGGGGAAUAUUGCACAAUGGGCGCAAGCCUGAUGCAGCCAUGCCGCGUGUGUGAAGAAGGCCUUCGGGUUGUAAAGCACUUUCAGCGGGGAGGAAGGCGGUAAGGUUAAUAACCUCAUCGAUUGACGUUACCCGCAGAAGAAGCACCGGCUAACUCCGUGCCAGCAGCCGCGGUAAUACGGAGGGUGCAAGCGUUAAUCGGAAUUACUGGGCGUAAAGCGCACGCAGGCGGUCUGUCAAGUCGGAUGUGAAAUCCCCGGGCUCAACCUGGGAACUGCAUUCGAAACUGGCAGGCUAGAGUCUUGUAGAGGGGGGUAGAAUUCCAGGUGUAGCGGUGAAAUGCGUAGAGAUCUGGAGGAAUACCGGUGGCGAAGGCGGCCCCCUGGACAAAGACUGACGCUCAGGUGCGAAAGCGUGGGGAGCAAACAGGAUUAGAUACCCUGGUAGUCCACGCCGUAAACGAUGUCGAUUUGGAGGUUGUGCCCUUGAGGCGUGGCUUCCGGAGCUAACGCGUUAAAUCGACCGCCUGGGGAGUACGGCCGCAAGGUUAAAACUCAAAUGAAUUGACGGGGGCCCGCACAAGCGGUGGAGCAUGUGGUUUAAUUCGAUGCAACGCGAAGAACCUUACCUGGUCUUGACAUCCACAGAACUUUCCAGAGAUGGAUUGGUGCCUUCGGGAACUGUGAGACAGGUGCUGCAUGGCUGUCGUCAGCUCGUGUUGUGAAAUGUUGGGUUAAGUCCCGCAACGAGCGCAACCCUUAUCCUUUGUUGCCAGCGGUCCGGCCGGGAACUCAAAGGAGACUGCCAGUGAUAAACUGGAGGAAGGUGGGGAUGACGUCAAGUCAUCAUGGCCCUUACGACCAGGGCUACACACGUGCUACAAUGGCAUAUACAAAGAGAAGCGACCUCGCGAGAGCAAGCGGACCUCAUAAAGUAUGUCGUAGUCCGGAUUGGAGUCUGCAACUCGACUCCAUGAAGUCGGAAUCGCUAGUAAUCGUAGAUCAGAAUGCUACGGUGAAUACGUUCCCGGGCCUUGUACACACCGCCCGUCACACCAUGGGAGUGGGUUGCAAAAGAAGUAGGUAGCUUAACCUUCGGGAGGGCGCUUACCACUUUGUGAUUCAUGACUGGGGUGAAGUCGUAACAAGGUAACCGUAGGGGAACCUGCGGCUGGAUCACCUC